This 601-nucleotide ribosomal RNA is filed under the name Psychrobacter sp. 54La. Its description in RNAcentral is "bacterial SSU rRNA". It matches the Rfam family "Bacterial small subunit ribosomal RNA", at positions 121 to 719 of the family's 1533-position model. The record is from RNAcentral. Lineage: Bacteria; Pseudomonadati; Pseudomonadota; Gammaproteobacteria; Moraxellales; Moraxellaceae.
GGAAUCUACCUAGUAGUGGGGGAUAGCACGGGGAAACUCGUAUUAAUACCGCAUACGACCUACGGGAGAAAGGGGGCAGUUUACUGCUCUCGCUAUUAGAUGAGCCUAAGUCGGAUUAGCUAGAUGGUGGGGUAAAGGCCUACCAUGGCGACGAUCUGUAGCUGGUCUGAGAGGAUGAUCAGCCACACCGGGACUGAGACACGGCCCGGACUCCUACGGGAGGCAGCAGUGGGGAAUAUUGGACAAUGGGGGAAACCCUGAUCCAGCCAUGCCGCGUGUGUGAAGAAGGCCUUUUGGUUGUAAAGCACUUUAAGCAGUGAAGAAGACUCCAUGGUUAAUACCCAUGGACGAUGACAUUAGCUGCAGAAUAAGCACCGGCUAACUCUGUGCCAGCAGCCGCGGUAAUACAGAGGGUGCAAGCGUUAAUCGGAAUUACUGGGCGUAAAGGGAGCGUAGGUGGCUCUAUAAGUCAGAUGUGAAAUCCCCGGGCUUAACCUGGGAACUGCAUCUGAAACUGUAGAGCUAGAGUAUGUGAGAGGAAGGUAGAAUUCCAGGUGUAGCGGUGAAAUGCGUAGAGAUCUGGAGGAAUACCGAUGGCGAA